CAAGUCGAGCGAACGGACGAGAAGCUUGCUUCUCUGACGUUAGCGGCGGACGGGUGAGUAACACGUGGAUAACCUACCUAUAAGACUGGGAUAACUUCGGGAAACCGGAGCUAAUACCGAGAUAAUAUUUUGAACCGCAUGAUUCAAAAGUGAAAGACGGUCUUGCUGUCACUUAUAGAUGGAUCCGCGCUGCAUUAGCUAGUUGGUAAGGUAACGGCUUACCAAGGCAACGAUGCAUAGCCGACCUGAGAGGGUGAUCGGCCACACUGGAACUGAGACACGGUCCAGACUCCUACGGGAGGCAGCAGUAGGGAAUCUUCCGCAAUGGGCGAAAGCCUGACCGGAGCAACGCCGCGUGAGUGAUGAAGGUCUUCGGAUCGUAAAACUCUGUUAUUAGGGAAGAACAUAUGUGUAAGUAACUGUGCACAUCUUGACGGUACCUAAUCAGAAAGCCACGGCUAACUACGUGCCAGCAGCCGCGGUAAUACGUAGGUGGCAAGCGUUAUCCGGAAUUAUUGGGCGUAAAGCGCGCGUAGGCGGUUUUUUAAGUCUGAUGUGAAAGCCCACGGCUCAACCGUGGAGGGUCAUUGGAAACUGGAAAACUUGAGUGCAGAAGAGGAAAGUGGAAUUCCAUGUGUAGCGGUGAAAUGCGCAGAGAUAUGGAGGAACACCAGUGGCGAAGGCGACUUUCUGGUCUGUAACUGACGCUGAUGUGCGAAAGCGUGGGGAUCAAA
Molecule: ribosomal RNA, 734 nt
Filed under: uncultured Staphylococcus sp.
Lineage: Bacteria; Bacillati; Bacillota; Bacilli; Caryophanales; Staphylococcaceae
Description: bacterial SSU rRNA
Rfam family: Bacterial small subunit ribosomal RNA
Source: RNAcentral